AAUCAACCAAUCAAAAUACUGGAUUUGGUGUUUCGAGCAUGAUUUUUGUGCUCCAUGCACUGAGCAAAGUUUUAUGACUUCAGCCCUUGAAGUCCAGACUCCUAAAGCAAUGCAACCCAUACAUCAGCUGCAUUUGUCGCAUGAAAGCAGGACACAUCAAGUACUACUUCAUCGGUAUCAACUGUAGCAAUAAUUCUCUUCCUGAAAAUGGGUUCAUCCAUCAGUUUAUAUGACAGAAAAUUAAGGUGUUGUAAUUUGUUUCUCUACACGCGUGGGAAGCUCUACCAGUUUCGUGGUACUGGUAUUGCCCAACUAUUUCUAUUCAAGGAACAACGAAUAGUAUCAACAACUGCUGAGGGAGGUAUAUCUUUAAUUAGUAUACCUAACAAGCAGUUUGUUGCUGUCUUCAAGAAAUUGAUUUCCUAAGUCUUC
This 432-nucleotide long non-coding RNA is filed under the name Mytilus galloprovincialis (Mediterranean mussel). Lineage: Eukaryota; Metazoa; Mollusca; Bivalvia; Mytilida; Mytilidae. The record is from RNAcentral.